UCUUGUCCAUACAACUGGCGGAUAAGUGGGUAACCACAUGGGAGUAUGGAUAAUAUUAUUAAGUCGACCGCCUGGGCAAUCAAG
Molecule: non-coding RNA, 84 nt
Filed under: Butyrivibrio proteoclasticus
Lineage: Bacteria; Bacillati; Bacillota; Clostridia; Lachnospirales; Lachnospiraceae
Description: ZTP sequence
Rfam family: ZMP/ZTP riboswitch aptamer (pfl RNA motif)
About the family: Previously known as pfl RNA. ZMP is also known as AICAR.
Source: RNAcentral